This 253-nucleotide ribosomal RNA is filed under the name uncultured bacterium. RNAcentral describes it as "partial 16S ribosomal RNA". It matches the Rfam family "Bacterial small subunit ribosomal RNA", at positions 524 to 776 of the family's 1533-position model. The record is from RNAcentral.
UACGUAGGGGGCGAGCGUUAUCCGGAAUUACUGGGCGUAAAGCGCGCGCAGGCGGUUCGCCAAGUUUGGAGUGACAGUUGUCGGCUCAACCGACAAAGGACUUCAAAAACUGGUGAACUUGAGGACGAGAGAGGAACAUGGAACUCCAGGUGUAGUAGUGAAAUGCGUAGAUAUCUGGAAGAACACCAAUGGCGAAGGCAAUGUUCUGGCUCGUUUCUGACGCUCAGGUGCGAAAGCCAGGGGAGCGAACGGG